AAUGCGCGCGUCCUAGGGGAGUAGUCUCCCGCGAGCGCCAGCUCGCCCGGCACGCGUCAACAUACUUGCUCGGCAGAGCAUGGCGCGUGCGACCCAAGGCCCACUCAGAGGGGCCUGCGGUUUGACAAGACCUAUGACACGCACACCUUACCCGGGGCGGGAAGGCUGUACGUGUCAUAGCCGUGUCGACCCGCCCCUUUAGG
RNAcentral lists this unclassified non-coding RNA (203 nucleotides) under Pseudomonas sp. 8BK. Its description in RNAcentral is "yybP-ykoY". The stretch from base 4 to 140 matches the Rfam family "Manganese Mn2+ riboswitch aptamer (yybP-ykoY)". Rfam says of the family: This RNA was originally discovered in E. coli during a large scale screen and was named SraF. Lineage: Bacteria; Pseudomonadati; Pseudomonadota; Gammaproteobacteria; Pseudomonadales; Pseudomonadaceae. The record is from RNAcentral.